RNAcentral lists this ribosomal RNA (492 nucleotides) under uncultured bacterium. RNAcentral's name for it is "partial 16S ribosomal RNA". It matches the Rfam family "Bacterial small subunit ribosomal RNA", at positions 29 to 507 of the family's 1533-position model. The record is from RNAcentral.
AGUGAACGCUGGCGGUAGGCCUAACACAUGCAAGUCGAACGGCAGCACAGUAAGAGCUUGCUCUUACGGGUGGCGAGUGGCGGACGGGUGAGGAAUACAUCGGAAUCUACUUUUUCGUGGGGGAUAACGUAGGGAAACUUACGCUAAUACCGCAUACGACCUACGGGUGAAAGUAGGGGAUCUUCGGACCUUGCGCGAUUGAAUGAGCCGAUGUCGGAUUAGCUAGUUGGCGGGGUAAAGGCCCACCAAGGCGACGAUCCGUAGCUGGUCUGAGAGGAUGAUCAGCCACACUGGAACUGAGACACGGUCCAGACUCCUACGGGAGGCAGCAGUGGGGAAUAUUGGAAAAUGGGCGCAAGCCUGAUCCAGCCAUACCGCGUGGGUGAAGAAGGCCUUCGGGUUGUAAAGCCUUUUUGUUGGGAAAGAAAAGCAGCAGGUUAAUACCCCGCUGUUCUGACGGUACCCAAAGAAUAAGCACCGGCUAACUUCGUG